GACCGGUUCUCGUUAGAUCACCGAAGUCAAGCAUCAUUGGACGCGGUCAGUACUUGGGUGGGUGACCACCUGGGAACACCGCGUGCCGUU
Caerostris darwini is the source of this 90-nucleotide non-coding RNA. The record is from the annotation of a GenBank genome assembly. Lineage: Eukaryota; Metazoa; Arthropoda; Arachnida; Araneae; Araneidae.